Molecule: ribosomal RNA, 467 nt
Filed under: uncultured bacterium
Lineage: Bacteria
Description: partial 16S ribosomal RNA
Rfam family: Bacterial small subunit ribosomal RNA
Source: RNAcentral
GAUGAACGCUGGCGGCGUGCUUAACACAUGCAAGUCGAACGGAAAGGCCCAAGCUUGCUUGGGUACUCGAGUGGCGAACGGGUGAGUAACACGUGGGUGAUCUGACCUGCACUUCGGGAUAAGCCUGGGAAACUGGGUCUAAUACCGGAUAGGACCACUUCUUGGAUGCUGUGGUGGAAAGCUUUUUCGGUGUGGGAUGAGUUCGCGGCCUAUCAGCUUGUUGGUGGGGUAAUGGCCUACUAAGGCGUCGACGGGUAGCCGGCCUGAGAGGGUGUACGGCCACAGUGACACUGAGAUACAGCCCAGACUCCUACGGGAAGCAGCAGUAGGGGAGAUUGCACAAGGAGCGCAGACCUGAUGCAGCGACGCCGCGGGGGGGAGGACGGCCUUCGGGUUGUAAACGCCUUUCGCUAUUGACGAAGCGUUUUGUGACGGUACCUGAGGAAGAAGCACCGGCUAACUACGUG